UCUCCUGGAAACGGGUGGUAAUGCCGGAUGUUCCACAUGAGCGCAUGCGAGUGUGGGAAAGGCUUUUUGCGGCAUGGGAUGGGGUCGCGUCCUAUCAGCUUGUUGGUGGGGUAACGGCCUACCAAGGCGUUGACGGGUAGCCGGCCUGAGAGGGCGACCGGCCACAUUGGGACUGAGAUACGGCCCAGACUCCUACGGGAGGCAGCAGUGGGGAAUAUUGCACAAUGGGCGCAAGCCUGAUGCAGCGACGCCGCGUGCGGGAUGGAGGCCUUCGGGUUGUAAACCGCUUUUGUUCAAGGGCAAGGCACGGUUUCGGCCGUGUUGAGUGGAUUGUUCGAAUAAGCACCGGCUAACUACGUGCCAGCAGCCGCGGUAAUACGUAGGGUGCAAGCGUUAUCCGGAUUUAUUGGGCGUAAAGGGCUCGUAGGCGGUUCGUCGCGUCCGGUGUGAAAGUCCAUCGCUUAACGGUGGAUCCGCGCCGGGUACGGGCGGGCUUGAGUGCGGUAGGGGAGACUGGAAUUCCCGGUGUAACGGGUGGAAUGUGUAGAUAUCGGGAAGACACCCA
This 565-nucleotide ribosomal RNA is filed under the name uncultured Bifidobacterium sp. RNAcentral's name for it is "bacterial SSU rRNA". It matches the Rfam family "Bacterial small subunit ribosomal RNA", at positions 146 to 711 of the family's 1533-position model. The record is from RNAcentral. Lineage: Bacteria; Bacillati; Actinomycetota; Actinomycetes; Bifidobacteriales; Bifidobacteriaceae.